This 253-nucleotide ribosomal RNA is filed under the name uncultured bacterium. Its description in RNAcentral is "partial 16S ribosomal RNA". It matches the Rfam family "Bacterial small subunit ribosomal RNA", at positions 524 to 776 of the family's 1533-position model. The record is from RNAcentral.
UACGUAGGGUGCAAGCGUUGUCCGGAAUUAUUGGGCGUAAAGAGCUCGUAGGCGGUUUGUCGCGUCUGCUGUGAAAAUCCAGGGCUUAACCCUGGACCUGCAGUGGGUACGGGCAGACUGGAGUGCGGUAGGGGAGAUCGGAAUUCCUGGUGUAGCGGUGAAAUGCGUAGAUAUCUGGAGGAAUACCGGUGGCGAAGGCGGCAUCCUGGACCGACAUUGACGCUGAACGGCGAAAGCUAGGGGAGCAAACGGG